UACGGAGGGGGCUAGCGUUGUUCGGAAUUACUGGGCGUAAAGCGCGCGUAGGCGGAUCUGCAAGUCGGGGGUGAAAUCCCGAGGCUCAACCUCGGAACUGCCUUCGAUACUGCGGAUCUCGAGUCCGGGAGAGGUGAGUGGAACUGCGAGUGUAGAGGUGAAAUUCGUAGAUAUUCGCAAGAACACCAGUGGCGAAGGCGGCUCACUGGCCCGGUACUGACGCUGAGGUGCGAAAGCGUGGGGAGCAAACAGG
This 253-nucleotide ribosomal RNA is filed under the name uncultured bacterium. Its description in RNAcentral is "partial 16S ribosomal RNA". It matches the Rfam family "Bacterial small subunit ribosomal RNA", at positions 524 to 776 of the family's 1533-position model. The record is from RNAcentral.